CCUUCGGUGGAAUCGGCUCCUUUCAGCGAAGCUGUUGCCGAGAGCAAUAGUGCAAAGUGCUUGGGAGAGUGUGUAAGUAAGUUAUUAGUUUAGACAAUUUCUUAAAGGAUGUUUCCUUAAAGAUUACCAAACAUUAAGUUUGGGGUUUUCAAGCAAACGACUUAAAAAAAUUUUAUAGAUCAUUUUACUGUGUCUACUUCCUUUAAAAAACUGUUUCUCCAAAAUACUAUUACACUAUAAUGCUACAAAAUAUAGAAUAAAACUUCAAAAACGCUGGAUUUCUGAGAUAAAAGCAGUUCACUCUAUUUUAAUUAAAUCUUAUAUUGUAAUAGGUAUAAUUGAAGCUUACUUCUGAGAGUAAUGUUCUCAGGAAACAAUGUAAAAAAUACUUUGAAAUUAUUGUAAGGUAGAGAAAAUAUAAUCACUCAGAAAAUGAUAUAGUCCGUUUGUUUUUUUGAUAAUAUAUAAAUAUACUUAGUUCUUAAUACAUAUUAGUAAAAAACAAUGACCCCUGUAGUCCACGCCCUCAACAAUGAAGAUUCAGUAUCAGAAACUCUAUCUCUAAAUAUGAAUAGAUUCUAGGGUUUUUGGUGCUUUAGCUAACGCGUUAAAUCUUCCGCCUGAGGAGUACGACCGCAAGGUUAAAACUCAAAGGAAUAGACGGGGGCCCAAACAAGUGGUGGGAUAUGUGGUUUAAUUCGAAACAACGCGCAAAACCUUACCAGCCCUUGACAUCAAAUUGAAAACUCUUUUUAUCGAGAGUGCAUACAUUUGACAGGUGUUGCAUGGCUGUCGUCAGCUCGUGUCGUGAGAUUUUUGGUUAAGUCCUUUAACGAGCGUAACCCUUUUGUCUGGUUGCCAGUAUAACUAGUAUAUUAUAUGCACUCCAGUCAGACUGUCGGUGAUAUACCGAAGAAAGGUGAGGAUCACGUCAAGUCGUCAUGACCCUUAUGGGCUGGGCUACACACGUAUCACAAUGGCGAUCACAAAAGCAAGCAAUGAUGCGAAUCGGAGCGAAUGCUCAAAAAUCGUCUCAGUUCGGAUUGUUCUCUGCAACUCGAGAACAUGAAGUUGGAAUCACUAGUAAUCGUGGAUCAGCACGCCACGGUGAAUCUGUACCUGGGCCUUGUACUCCCCGCCCGUCACGCUCUGGAAAUUCAGUGAAUUGGAAAAAUAUUGAAAAUAGUAAAACAGAAAAAUUAUAUGACUUAGUAAAAGAAAUUUAGGUUUUCUCUGUUUAUUUAAUUUUCAAUAUGUCAAAAUUUGUUGAGUAACUGGAGCGAAGUCGUAACAAGGUAGCCGUAGGGGAACCUGCGGCUG
This 1320-nucleotide ribosomal RNA is filed under the name Trebouxiophyceae sp. KSI-1. RNAcentral's name for it is "bacterial SSU rRNA". The stretch from base 346 to 1320 matches the Rfam family "Bacterial small subunit ribosomal RNA". The record is from RNAcentral. Lineage: Eukaryota; Viridiplantae; Chlorophyta; Trebouxiophyceae.